CAGUGCAGUAUUAGUUAUAUAGACCUCGUGGAGUGAACCAGUUGUUCAGUCCACAGUAUAACACGUGCCGGUUUAGAUAAAUAAUAAAUCCGCUGGAAAAUGGAAAAGGCCAUUGGGCCCAAUUCGGCCCAACGCCGAGCGGCGAUGCGGGCCGAGGCCCAUAACGUGGCCUGAGCAGCGGCUGGACCGCGGGUUCAUUUCUGAAGAAUUGGAGGGUUUUUUUGCAAGAAUAUAUGAGAGAGGGAAGUGGACUGCGGGUUGAUUCGUAUAAAGUUGGAGGGCUUUUUUGCAAAACGACCAAGGAGAGCACGAUCUCGCCCGUUCAUGAGCCCGAUCCGAC
This is a long non-coding RNA of Sorghum bicolor (sorghum), 340 nucleotides long. RefSeq lists it as uncharacterized. The record is from RefSeq and is a predicted model, not a curated record. The transcript is spliced from 2 exons. Lineage: Eukaryota; Viridiplantae; Streptophyta; Magnoliopsida; Poales; Poaceae.